This is an RNA transcript of Labrus mixtus (cuckoo wrasse), 3406 nucleotides long. It is a transcript of the gene named arginase 1, with no coding region annotated. The transcript is spliced from 9 exons. Lineage: Eukaryota; Metazoa; Chordata; Actinopteri; Labriformes; Labridae. The record is from RefSeq and is a predicted model, not a curated record.
CGGGUGACAGUCAACAUGAGGAGCGCGAGGAUUCUGCAGCAGAUCGUCAGAAGACAGAGCCUUCAUCAUCAUCAUCAUCUUCACACCAAGAGCUCUGUGGGGAUCAUCGGAGCUCCUUUCAGCAAGGGACAGCCUCGUGGCGGGGUCGAGAGGGGACCGGACCUGAUCCGAGCUGAAGGACUGCUGCCCAAACUGCACGAGCUAGAAUGUGCAGUGAAGGAUUAUGGGAACCUGGUGUUCGAAGAGGCGGAGCUUGAUGGGCCGGAGGGCGUGCUGAAAAACUUGAAGGCGGUUGGCAGCUUCAACCAGAAGCUGUCGCAGGCGGUGCAGCUAGUGAAGAAGGACGGACACACGACUGUGAUGCUGGGAGGAGACCACAGUCUGGCGAUCGGCUCCAUUCACGGUCACUCGGCGGCGGUGGGAGAGCUGGGUGUCGUCUGGGUCGACGCCCACGCUGACAUCAACACGCCGCUGACCACGUCGACUGGAAAUCUGCACGGACAGCCCUUGUCGUUCCUCGUGAAAGAGCUGCAGUCCAGUGUUCCCGUGCUGCCGAGCUUCUCGUGGCUCAAACCGUGCAUCUCGUUCAAAGAUCUGGUCUACAUCGGACUGAGAGACGUGGACCCCGGAGAGCAUUACAUCCUGAAGGAGCUCGGGGUGAAGAUGUUCUCGAUGUCAGAGGUGGAUCAGCUCGGAGUGUCCAGAGUGAUGGAGGAGACGUGUGACUACCUGUCCUCCAGAGGGAAUAAACCGAUCCACCUGAGCUACGACAUCGAUGCCAUCGACCCCACUGUCACCCCAGCAACCGGGACACCUGUAGUGGGCGGGCUCUCAUACAGGGAGGGGGUCUACAUCACAGAGUGCCUCCGUGAGACAGGUCGUUUGUCGGCGGUGGACCUGGUGGAGGUGAAUCCUCUCCUCGGUAAGACCGAGGAGGGCAUUCAUUCUACCGUCAGCACGGCGGUCGACGUGCUGCUCGGCUGCUUCGGGCGCCUCCGUGAGGGAAACCACCCCUCAGAUUACGAGCCCCCCAAGCCAUGAAGGUGGACGACGCUGUCCUCUCCUACUGCACUGAUGGACACUUGAACAUGUCUGAGCACCUGAUCACUAUUACUCUGCCAAAUCAUGAACUCCACUACCCAGAAUGCCUUUAGCCUGAUGUCAGUGUGCUGCACACGCUCGCUGUUUGAUUUGUGACACUUUUACCAAAGAUAUUUUAUACCUGUGGCCGUCCACACAGCAAUCAGAAUCUAAUCUACAAUCACAUUUUCAUUUUUUAUCCAGAGUUAUUCAUCAUUUUUUGGAGACAAAAACUGAAGUUUCAGCUUCUCAAAUGUUUUUUCACUUUUAAAGUUUGGACUAAACAAGCGAUUAGAAGAAUAUGACAUCAUCGUAGGCAUUCUCUACGGAGUCUUGAAAAGGUCACAGAGACAAAAUAUUUCAUGAAAAGACAUGCAAAAGCAUGACUAUAAAGAAAUGAGGAUAAAUCUGUUUUCCCGUUGAGAGUUUCUCAACCUCACAGUAAAAUAACUAUAAAUAUGUUUGGCUCAAUGAUGAUGUAAAGUAGUAAAAAGUUGAUGCUGCUAAUAAGCUAUAAAAACGUUUAACAAGGUACUCUAACGAUGAUAGUUUGACUUCUGAAAAUCCCCUUUGUGUUCUCAGUAGUGCUCUUAAGACCGGCCUCUAGACCACAUUUUGAAGGUCUCGUCCUGGAAUCGAAAGCAUUUUACUCGGUCUCAGAAUGGAUGGACUCCGGAUUUUUAAUCAAGACCACCACUGAUUGGCUAUUUUCCCAAGUCCUAUCUCUGAGUAAGAUGAAAACGCCUCUUUCUAAAAGAACAAAUGACUUAAUAACUCAUUCAUAGUUUGAUUUUUGACCGUUUCUCAGUGACAUUUAUGGUCCUGGUCUUGACUUGGUCUUGGAGCACUCUGAUCUUGGUAAGUGUGGUCUUGACUACAACAUUAGUUCUCAGCACUCUAAACAUUAAUCUAUGAUGGGGUUCUCGGGAUCCUGAAGAUUCCUCGGCAGGCAGUUUUCAUUGCUGAAUGAUUAUCAUAGUUACUCUGAUUGAGGGCAGGACUAACCAUGACGUCAACGUCGUUUGGUAACUGGAUUUGAUCUUGUAUAUUUCUUUUCACGUCUUCUGACGACUGAAAGUGCUUUUACUCUGCAGGUCACACCUACACAUUCACACACUGAUGGUAGAGGCUGCUGUGUAAAGAGUCCAUCAGUAUUAACUCAUCCAUUCAUACACAUUCACACACUGAUGAUAGAGGCUGCUGUGUAAAGAGUCCGUCAGUAUUAACUCAUCCAUUCAUACACAUUCACACACUGAUGGUAGAGGCCGCUGAGUAAAGAGUCCAUCAGUAUUAACUCAUCCAUUCAUACACAUUCACACACUGAUGGUAGAGGCUGCUGUGUAAAGAGUCCGUCAGUAUUAACUCAUCCAUUCAUACACAUUCACACACUGAUGGUAGAGGCUGCUGUGUAAAGAGUCCGUCAGUAUUAACUCAUCCAUUCAUACACAUUCACACGCUGAUGGUAGAGGCUGCUGUGUAAAGAGUCCGUCAGUAUUAACUCAUCCAUUCAUACACAUUCACACGCUGAUGGUAGAGGCCGCUGUGUAAAUAGUCCGUCAGUAUUAACUCAUCCAUUCAUACACAUUCACACGCUGAUGGUAGAGGCCGCUGAGUAAAGAGUCCGUCAGUAUUAACUCAUCCAUUCAUACACAUUCACACGCUGAUGGUAGAGGCCGCUGUGUAAAUAGUCCGUCAGUAUUAACUCAUCCAUUCAUACACAUUCACACGCUGAUGGUAGAGGCCGCUGUGUAAAGAGUCCGUCAGUAUUAACUCAUCCAUUCAUACACAUUCACACGCUGAUGGUAGAGGCCGCUGUGUAAAUAGUCCGUCAGUAUUAACUCAUCCAUUCAUACACAUUCACACACUGAUGGUAGAGGCUGCAGUGUAAAGAGUCCGUCAGUAUUAACUCAUCCAUUCAUACACAUUCACACGCUGAUGGUAGAGGCCGCUGUGUAAAGAGUCUGUCAGUAUUAACUCAUCCAUUCAUACACAUUCACACGCUGAUGGUAGAGGCUGCUGUGUGAAGAAUCCUGACCUCUUGGUUGGCUCUGUUCACACAUGCAGCUCGGCUUGAAAACUUCAGGGGUGUUUCAGGAGUCUUGUGCGAACAAGGCUUUGGAGUAAGGUUGUGACGACUGGCGUUCUCUGAUAUGCACGCCACUUUGUUUAAACUAGUGCAAUAACCAAAUAUGAUGUAUUCUUCUGUAUUAAAGAGUUCACAAGAUGUUUAACUGACGCUGUCUCACUAUCCUCACCUUUAACACACCUUUAGUCUUAUUUAUUCUGUAUUUGUUCUGCUCAAAUAAAAAUCAAAGUCCAAACUUCA